RNAcentral lists this ribosomal RNA (97 nucleotides) under uncultured bacterium. RNAcentral describes it as "partial 16S ribosomal RNA". It matches the Rfam family "Bacterial small subunit ribosomal RNA", at positions 1390 to 1482 of the family's 1533-position model. The record is from RNAcentral.
CCGCCCGUCACACCAUGGGAGUGGGUUGCACCAGAAGUAGCUAGUCUAACCACGCAAGUGGAGGACGGUUACCACGGUGUGAUUCAUGACUGGGGUG